GUUUCAUUUAAAAUUAUAAUAAAAUUUUAUUUUUUAGUCAAAAAGCUAAAAUUUAUUUAAAAGACGAGAAGACCCUAUAAAUCUUUAUAAUUAUAUUAUUUUAAUUUAUUAGAUUAAUUUUGUUAUUAUAAAUUUAAUUAUUUUAUUGGGGUGAUAUUAAAAUUUAAUGAACUUUUAAUUUUUGUUUAACAUUAAUUUAUGAAUAAUUGAUCCAUUAUUAGUGAUUAAAAAAUUAAGUUACUUUAGGGAUAACAGCGUAAUUUUUUUGGAGAGUUCUUAUCGAUAAAAAAGGUUGCGACCUCGAUGUUGGAUUAAGAUAAAUUUUUAAAUGCAGAAGUUUAAAUUUUAAGUCUGUUCGACUUUUAAAUUCUUACAUGAUCUGAGUUCAAACCGGUGUAAGCCAGGUUGGUUUCUAUCUUUAAUUAAUUAAUAUAUUUUAGUACGAAAGGACCAAAUAUUUAAAUAAUAAUAUAUUUUAUAUUAAGAAU
RNAcentral lists this ribosomal RNA (488 nucleotides) under Teloglabrus entabenensis. RNAcentral describes it as "partial 16S ribosomal RNA". The stretch from base 248 to 407 matches the Rfam family "Bacterial large subunit ribosomal RNA", at positions 2473 to 2632 of the family's 2925-position model. The record is from RNAcentral. Lineage: Eukaryota; Metazoa; Arthropoda; Insecta; Diptera; Diopsidae.